This 174-nucleotide ribosomal RNA is filed under the name Thermoprotei archaeon. RNAcentral describes it as "partial 23S ribosomal RNA". It matches the Rfam family "Archaeal large subunit ribosomal RNA", at positions 2828 to 2975 of the family's 2987-position model. Lineage: Archaea; Thermoproteati; Thermoproteota; Thermoprotei. The record is from RNAcentral.
GGGGUAACCGCUGAAAGCAUCUAAGCGGGAAACCCUCCCCGAAAAUAGGCGGCCGUUCCCCCUGAAAAGGGGGACGAGGGCUCCCGUAGAAGACGGGGUUGAUGGGGCGGGGGUGUAAGCCCCAAGGGAGCUUAGCUCCCGAGGGGUGAGCCCGCCGCUCCCAAUCGCCCGAGG